UGGGGAAUAUUGCACAAUGGGCGAAAGCCUGAUGCAGCGACGCCGCGUGAGGGAUGACGGCCUUCGGGUUGUAAACCUCUCUCAGCAGGGACGAAGCGCAAGUGACGGUACCUGCAGAAGAAGCACCGGCUAACUACGUGCCAGCAGCCGCGGUAAUACGUAGGGUGCAAGCGUUGUCCGGAAUUACUGGGCGUAAAGAGUUCGUAGGCGGUUUGUCGCGUCGUUUGUGAAAACCAGCAGCUCAACUGCUGGCUUGCAGGCGAUACGGGCAGACUUGAGUACUGCAGGGGAGACUGGAAUUCCUGGUGUAGCGGCGAAAUGCGCAGAUAUCAGGAGGAACACCGGUGGCGAAGGCGGGUCUCUGGGCAGUAACUGACGCUGAGGAACGAAAGCGUGGGUAGCGAACAGG
RNAcentral lists this ribosomal RNA (409 nucleotides) under bacterium. Its description in RNAcentral is "partial 16S ribosomal RNA". It matches the Rfam family "Bacterial small subunit ribosomal RNA", at positions 355 to 776 of the family's 1533-position model. The record is from RNAcentral.